AAGUACGGUGGCGCCACGACCUCGUGAGGUAGCCGCCUAAAGAGUGACUGGUGACUGGGGUG
This 62-nucleotide ribosomal RNA is filed under the name uncultured bacterium. Its description in RNAcentral is "partial 16S ribosomal RNA". The record is from RNAcentral.